This is a non-coding RNA of Microcebus murinus (gray mouse lemur), 2017 nucleotides long. NCBI's taxonomy places the organism in Eukaryota, Metazoa, Chordata, Mammalia, Primates, Cheirogaleidae. The record is from RefSeq and is a predicted model, not a curated record.
GUCACUUCCAGGCAAGAGCGUGCCGUUGCUGGGCCUGGGUCCUCCAAAGCUCUCUCUUCCCUCAGUGACAAGGUUGGAAAUGCACAAGAGCUGUUCUUAGCCAGAAAAUGCCAGAUGGCACUAGGGAAUCAGCUUCAUGCUAUUCCAGAGCAAUGUCAUCCACACAGAGAGCCAGCAGCUAAUUGACAAAGAUACCCUCGCUGUUUUUAUAGAAGUCAAGAUGUCCUACUUCUAUCACUAAACUGUCCUUUUAGAACUGGCUUGGGUCUCAAGCUCUCUUUGGAACUUUAUUCUAGGGCUUCCAUGGUGGUUUUCCCUGUGGGUGUCUAAUUAAGAUUUGUUGAUGAAGAGAUCACUGUUCUGAGGUUUGCUGUCUCCAGAUCAGAAAGUUCAGAAGAACAGUCCUGUAGGGUGUCACAAAAUCAGGAAAUAAAUAGUAAAGUUUAGCCUCAAACAAGAUAUUGAAGGUACCUGAGAGAAGAUUCUCCCAGAAAAUUGUUUUAGUUACUCAAUAAUUCCCACAGAAUGAGUCAGAAAGAAAUGGCCAAGAAGUCCUUUUUCACAUCUCAUUCCAAAGUUAGCUGGUGAGUGCGGCCCAGUCCAGUGAUUUCCAGUCCUCUGUCUGUGGAUGGAUUUGCUACAACAGAGUCACUUACGAAAUACCUGAUCCCUGCAUCCACCCUUACGAAUCACAAUGGCACAGCAGCAUGUGGAAAUUAAGCAAGUGCCAGAGGUGACUCUGAUAAGGUCCAGGGUAGUGGUUCUUAAAGUGUGGGCCCCACACCAGCAGCAGCAGCACCUGGAGCUGCUUAGAGACACGGCUCACGGGCCCCUAACCUACUAGUCAGGAACUCAGGAGUGGCCCAGCAAGGGCUUUAUGCUCCAGAUGGUUUUGAAGCAUGGGAACAUGUGAGAAUCACCGUUCUAGGGGCUUCUUAUGGUUACAAUAACCAAAUAUUUCUAGGGAAUCUUUUUGGGUAACAAUUGGUCUGAUUGUUUAAAAAUAUGUGACACUGCCGACGAUUGGCCAUUUGCUUAUUUAACAGAUUUUUACUGAGUGGUUCCUGUGUUGUAGGUAUUAUGCUAGGUGCUGGAAAUAAAGAGAUAAAAAAGACUGAAUUUCUGCCUCUGGACUCUAAAGGGAUAUGCACAUGUGAACAAAUAGUUGUGAUUCUGUAUGUAGAGUGCUAUGAAAUAUACGUGUAAAAGAUUAAUUCUGUGAUAAGGGAUGUGGCCCAAGGAAGACUUUUGAGCUCUGAACAAGUUCUGAACACUGAGGAUCACACAUAGAAAUCAGAAGGGUACUGAAAUAUCCUCUGAUGACUUUAUGCUACUUGAGCGAAUGUGAAGAAUAAAACUUGGACCCUCUGAGCUGUCCAGUCCUCCUCGCCACGUGAAGACCCGUGGACUACUGCAAGAGGGGACUGAGGCUGCAGAGUGACUAUUCACCCAGCGGAAGUGUGGCUGUGGCUGUCUCUCUCCACGUCAAGUAGGAAUAUAGCAAGAGCCCAGAAGAAGGAGGUCACAUGAAAGCAUGAGCCUUAGCAUUAACUCUGCCCGCCACAGAAAGGGGGCACACUGAUGCAGUGUUCUCACAUUACACCUCUCGGGAGUGCUGAAAGGCAGGGGAAGAAGAUUCAAAAUGAUGCUUCCCACAUAAUUCCCUCCUGGGAAUGAAGUCCUUUCUCCUGAUGGAAACACGUGGGACUAAGUAGUUAAGUGCCCUCCAACCAAAGCCAGGGGUUGGUAGGCAGAUGAGCAGAAGCCAGAGAGCAUUUCAGAUGGAGGGCUAGCACAUGCAAAGGCCUGGAGCCUAAAAUAACAGGGAAAGCUUGUAGAAGGUUGGCAUGGGAUUUUGUUGUUUAAUUUUUCAGUGUUGCCUUUCAGAUAGGAAGUGAGGAGACUAAAUUUAUUUUAAACAUUAGAAAGAGCAUUUCAUUAGUUUAUAACAGUAAAAAAAUGAAGAUAUACAUGACCAAUAAUAGCAUACUGAUAAAGUAAAUUAUGGUAGAGCCAU